UUACUAUUUUAAAAUGGUAGAGUAUAAGUAUAUAAGAUGAUGAGAUAUGGAUAUAUGAAUUAUUACUUUCCAGCUAAUAAUAUUAAACAAUUAAUAAAAAAUUAAAUUUAGCGCCUUAUAAAAGGUUGGCUAAUUUGAGUGCCAGCAGCCGCGGUUAUACUUAAAACCCCCUUAUCUUAAUAAUUAAAUGGCUUUUUUAACUAAAAAUAGAUAUAUUUAGGUAAAAUUACAUAUUUUUUAUUUAAACUUUAUGUUAAUAGAUAAAAAUAAAAUAAGAGUAAGAAACUAGGAUUAGAUACCCUAUUAUCCUUACAAAAUUAAAUUUAAUUGGGAACUAACAUUUUAUAGAAAAUGUAAACCUAAAUUUUAUGGCGGCAAUAAAAAUAUAUAGGGGAACUUACCACAUAAUAGAUAACCACCAAGAUAAUUACCUUCAUAAAAAAGUUUGUAUACCGUCGUUUUUAUUGUCCCUUAAGGGGUUUAUAAAAUAUACUCAUAUAAUAUAACAGAUCAAGGUGCAUCUAAUAUGGAGGAGUAGGCGAGUUACAAUAAUAAAAAUUUCCAAUUAGUCUUUAAAAUAAGCUAUGAAGAUGGACUUAUAAGUAUAAAUAUAUUACUGUUAAAAUUAGAAUGUACCUUUUGUUGUGCACAAAUCGCCCGUCAUUCUCUUUAUUAAAAAGAGACAAGUCGUAACAUAGUAGAGGCAGCGGAAGCUGCCUCUGUAAUAAA
This 729-nucleotide non-coding RNA is filed under the name Arion flagellus. Lineage: Eukaryota; Metazoa; Mollusca; Gastropoda; Stylommatophora; Arionidae. The record is from RNAcentral.